UCAAACAGUAGUUCACACCCAAAAAUAAUAUACCUUGAGUAGAAAUAACAAAACACCGCCGUGACAAACCACAGGUGAACCCUCAUCGUGGAGGAGAAUAUUGAUUUGGCAUUCCAACAUUGGGCAAUAGCUGCGUACUCACAUUAAGCAUAAAUAACUAGGAUUAUCCACUGUAUAAUCAAAAAUAGAGCAUGACCCCAAGGAUUCAGAAAACCAAGUGCCGAUCUUAGCGCAAAAAAAAAAAGAGAGAGAAAAAAAAGAAAAGCAACAUUGUCGCCAAUAGAUUGCCACCAAUUGAUGCUUAGAGCUUUAGCUGUCCACAAGUACAUGUAACCAUUUGGCAGUGUAUGUCAGACUCCACUUCCUUGGUUAAAGAGGACGUAGUCACACACUAGAGGCUCAAGCACAAUAGUCCGGAUUCCACGUAGAUAAAACGCACAACGACAGCGAUAGGACAUCCUCCCUUGUUCCAAGUCAAAAUACGGUCCAUUCCUCACUGUCCACCCCCACUAAAGCAGCAUAAAAGAAGAUAAACAAGGCCCAACUGGCCAAAGAGAAAUUCUUCGUGCACCGCCCGCGGUGCCAAAAAUCCGAUGCAGAUGCGGAACACAUCAUCUUAUUCAAUUAAAUUAUAUAAAUAUCAUUUU
RNAcentral lists this long non-coding RNA (647 nucleotides) under Elaeis guineensis (African oil palm). RNAcentral describes it as "long non-coding RNA (EGUI_LNC075343)". Lineage: Eukaryota; Viridiplantae; Streptophyta; Magnoliopsida; Arecales; Arecaceae. The record is from RNAcentral.